GCAGCAGUAGGAAACUUCGGUUUCCUAGCUGGCGACCGGCGGACGGGUGCGUAACACGUAGCUACUUGCCCUACAGUGGGGGAUAACAGCCCGAAAGGGCUGCUAAUACCGCAUACACCCGAGAGGGGAAAGCCGUAAGGCGCUGUAGGAUAGGGCUGCGGCGUAUCAGCUAGUUGGUGGGGUAAUGGCCUACCAAGGCUAUGACGCGUAGCUGGUCUGAGAGGAUGAUCAGCCACACUGGAACUGAGACACGGUCCAGACUCCUACGGGAGGCAGCAGUGGGGAAUAUUGGGCAAUGGGCGAAAGCCUGACCCAGCAAUGCCGCGUGGAGGAAGACGCCCUUCGGGGUGUAAACUCCUUUUGUAGGGGAAGAAACUGACGGUACCCUACGAAUAAGCUCCGGCUAACUCCGUGCCAGCAGCCGCGGUAAUACGGGGGGAGCGAGCGUUACUCGGAAUCACUGGGCGUAAAGGGUGCGUAGGCGGCUUGGUAAGUUAGGAGUGAAAGCCCACAGCUCAACUGUGGAACUGCUUCUAAAACUGCUAAGCUAGAGUCCGGGAGAGGCUGCGGGAAUUCCUGGUGUAGGGGUGAAAUCCGUAGAGAUCAGGAAGAAUGCCGAAAGCGAAGGCGCGCAGCUGGAACGGUACUGACGCUGAGGCACGAAAGCGUGGGGAGCAAACAGGAUUAGAUAC
RNAcentral lists this ribosomal RNA (692 nucleotides) under epsilon proteobacterium B655-1. RNAcentral's name for it is "bacterial SSU rRNA". It matches the Rfam family "Bacterial small subunit ribosomal RNA", at positions 66 to 785 of the family's 1533-position model. The record is from RNAcentral. Lineage: Bacteria; Pseudomonadati; Campylobacterota.